UCCGUAAGUACUGGUCCGUACUGCGAAGUGGAACCCACCAGCAAGUCAGUUGAUGGAUUCAAACCGCCCAACAUCUUUCCUCAUAGCAACGCGUAUAUAAGAUAAAGAAACGAACGUACGAGCCAAGACUUGGAUGACUUCCGCCAUUCCACCUCUUGGAGAUUUACCACGACGGAAGAAACGCAACCAAGCCCAACCAAAGCCCAAUAGAAGUCCUACUAAAAUCAUGCUAGCACUUAAGGCUAUGGAACUUUUUGCUGCAUCUUCAAUAUGUUCUUCAAUGCUUGUUGCAGAUGUUGUUGGAUGUUCAUUUACCUUUUUAUAUAAAUUAUUUUCUAAUUUAAUUUCAUAUAUAUAUAUUUCAUGAGUAUAUUUCUAUAUGUAUAUAGAUAUAUAUAAUAAAAUACAUAUAAUACAAUAACAUAA
Molecule: long non-coding RNA, 426 nt
Organism: Apis cerana (Asiatic honeybee)
Lineage: Eukaryota; Metazoa; Arthropoda; Insecta; Hymenoptera; Apidae
Source: RefSeq, a predicted model, not a curated record